AUGAGGAAAGUGGGCCAAUUUCUGCAGUUGAGGAAGCCCUUAGAAAGCUCUUUAAAAAUGAGGCCAAAUUCUUCUGCUACAAAGCAAGUGCAAUGCUCACUGGUUUUAGAAUGCUGCUCAUGUUGUGCAGUUGGAGAAGUGACAUGAUCCAAAUAAAAAGAAAUAGAUCAGCUUUUUUUCUCUGGUAGUACUGACACAUCAACUGGAGCUCAUGGACUUCAUCUUUCUACCUUAUGCUGUGCCAUUUCUCAAGUUUUACAGAAAUGGCAAUGAAGUUUUGGAGGAAGAGGAAUCUCGCUCUGUGACUGCAGCUUCUGCUUUCCAAAAUGGAUUUGCAGAGAGUUUUGAUGUUCAAGGCUUGUUUUGAAGCCCUCUGCGUUGCAGUUUUCUGUUUCGGAUCCUGGGGACUGACAGAUGCUCAGAUUCUUCUUGGUGCAGUGCCAGCAGUGGCAGCAGAUAAAGGAAAAGAGAUGGAAACAAGAGGGAUCCUUUGCCAGUCCUCACAGUUCUGCUGUUUCUCUGUCCUCUAGCAAGACCUUUUGCUGGAAAUUAAGGGACAUCUCCUGUAGUUCUCAAAGCAGUAGCACAGGCUCCUUGGAGGAAGAACUUAGGAAAUAA
RNAcentral lists this long non-coding RNA (618 nucleotides) under Lonchura striata (white-rumped munia). RNAcentral describes it as "domestica (Bengalese finch) lncRNA (ENSLSDG00000011126.1)". The record is from RNAcentral. Lineage: Eukaryota; Metazoa; Chordata; Aves; Passeriformes; Estrildidae.